Molecule: long non-coding RNA, 4831 nt
Filed under: Sus scrofa (pig)
Lineage: Eukaryota; Metazoa; Chordata; Mammalia; Artiodactyla; Suidae
Description: lncRNA (ENSSSCG00000058123.1)
Source: RNAcentral
CCAUUUCUUAGCUAACCCAUAUCUUUCCCUACAAUUCUUCUCUACUUGGUUUUUUAAUCCACAAAUAUAUCCUGGAGUGCUCUUUGUGUUGUCAGAGAGAGAUAUUUCUUAAUACUUUCUCAGCUGCAUAGUACUCCACUAUGUGGGUGUACCUUUAACUAAUGGCCUAAUGAUCACCAUCUGGUUCAUUUCCAGUCUUUAGCUUUGAAAUUAGUCCAGUAAUGGCAAGCUCCAUUCAUACGUCUUUUUCUCUUUUUGCAGGAAUCUUUGGUGGGACUCUCUGAGGUUGCUGAGUUAAAGAAUAAAUGCCCAUGUAAUUUUGCUAGAUAUUGCUAAGCUUCCCUCUAUCCAGGAACUUGUACCAUUUUGCAUUCCCACCAGCAGUGUAUAAGGAUGCCUGUACAAUACGGCUUUACAAAUACAGUACAUGUCAAACUUUGAGAUUUUUGCUUACCCUUUAGGGAGAAAUUGAUGUCCGUGGAGUUUUAAUGUACAUUUCUAUUGAAUGAGUUUGGGCAACAUUUCAUAAGGUGAAAAGCCAUUUUCAUCUCCUUUUUGGUGAACUUUGUUUCUCUAGACUUUUGUCCAUAGCAGUGCUCCCCAGUAUAAUUCCAGUGAUGGAAACAUUCUCUACCUGCACUAUCUAGAUAGAAUUCAUAUAGUGGCCACUAAUCACAUGUGCUGUUGAAUAUUUAAAAUGAGGCUGGAAGAACUGGGGAACUAAGUUGUUUUUAUUUGCUUUUUAGGGCCAUGUGUGUGACAUAUGGAAAUUCCCUGGCUAGGGGUGGAAUCGGAGCUGCAGCUGCCGGCCAACACCACAGCCACAGCCAUGCAGGAUCCAAGCCCCAUCUGUGACCUACACCACAGCUUACUACAACGCUGGAUCCUUAACCCACUGAACAAGGCCAGGGAUCGAACCCAUGUCCUCAUUGAUUCUAGUUGCGCUUGUUAUUGUUGAGCCACGAUGGGAACUUCCUGGGAAACUAAAUUUUUUAUUUUAAUUUGCAUUAAUUUAAAUAAUCUCAUUGACUGGUGGCAACUGUUUUAGGUAGCGCAGGUGUUUUGGGUUUUUAGUCUAGUCUCUUUUUAGAAGCUCUUUCUAUGUUAGGUAGAGGUAUUGGUUCCAAGAGAAAGAGAAGCAGCCCCUGACAUUUGAGAAUUGGCCUGCCACAGCUGGACCUCAGUGCCAGCAGUUUGCCUGGUACGGAUGCCUAGGUGCUUGUCCCCUUGUUGAUUACAAAUAAUCUAACAGAGCACCAGCAUCAGAUAAAGUCACUCUGCAACCAUGAUAGUCAAAGCAAAGCAAAGCAAAACAAAACACCAUUUGAAAGUCUUGACUAAGCAUAGACAAAAACAAGGUUACUGUGUAAACCACAGAAAACAAAACAAAAAACAAAAACCCACACACAUCUUCCUCUGCUGGCUCACGUGGAUGGCUGCUGUUUCUCUAUCAACUAUGGCUUUAGCUCUGAUUCAUUUCUCCUGCCGCAAAGAUAAGGUUAAUAAGAUGCUCAAGUAAUAGAUUUUUGCAUUGUUUCCUGACAACAUCCAAUCCAGAGCAAAUCCCUACUUCCUUGAGCCCUUGCCAGUGUUGCCUAACCAAAGCCCAGCUCCUCGAGUGGUUUUCAAGAUCCUCUUCUUCAAUCCCACUCUGGUGCCCCUUUGUUUCAAGGGGCUUUAUCCUAACUUGUUUAGUGGCAGGUGUGUGCUUAGUGGUCUUUGGCUGGAGGGCAUUGACAAAGCUUUGUGAUUCUCAUUUGCUGAUGUUUUCCCAGUUUGUCAUUUUCCACGUUACAAAAUGUGUCUUUUUUACUAUGCAAAUUUGUAUUUUUAAGAAAUAAAACAUAAUUUUAAUUGCUCUGGAAUCUGUAUCAUAGCAAAGGAGAAUUUUCCCAUUCCCAGACUAUAAAGGAAUUUAUUCAUCUUUGCUUUUAAUACUGGCAUGGUUUCAAUUUUUACAUUUAGAUCUUUGAUUCAGUUGGAAUAUAUCCAGGUGUAUGGGGUGAAAAAGGCGUAACUUUUUCUAUAUGGUUAUUUAUUAUUCUAGUACUAUCAAUAAAAAUCCAAGUUUUCCUCUCUGAUGUGAGAUAUCACCUUCAUUGCAUCCUAUAUUUUAUGUAUGUAAUUAGGUCUGUUUCUGUAUUUUGUAUUUUCUUCACUGGUCUAUUUGUCCAUUCCUGUGCAAUACCACAUUGUUUUAAUAUAGAGGCUUCAUAAUAUGUUACUUCUGGAAGGGCUAGGCUCGUAUCCCCGAUCUGCAUUUUGGAAUUUUCCUGCCAUCCUUGGGGUUUCUGCCCUACUAGAUUAGUCAGGUUGUCUCAUUCUAGGGAAAAGCCCUAAUGUUAACUUUAUUGGUAUUAUAUAAUUUAUAAACCAUCUCAGUGAGAAUUGUCACAUUUAUGCUGUUGUCUUCCUGCCUUUCCAACUUGCUCAGGUUUUCUUUUGUACCCUUAGCAGUAUUUUGUUAGGUUUGUUAUUUGUUUGUUGUUUUGGUUUUUUGUUUUUUCUCUUGGCCACUGGGGAUCAAACCUGUGUCCCAGCACCCCAGAGAUGACACCAGUCCUGUUGCACCAUAGCAGGAAUGCCUCCUCAGCAGUGUUUUAGAAUUGACCUCAUUUAAGUUCUGGGUGUUUAGGUUCAUACCUAUUUUUUGUUUUUGCUCUUUUACUAUCAAAAACAUUGUCUUCUCUCUCCUUACUACAUUUCAUAUUUGAUUUUAAUUAGUAUAUGAAGUUAUUGGGUUUUAUCUGUUAAUUUUAUAAUCUCUAUUAAAAGUUUAUUAUUUAAAGUAGUUUUUCACUGGUUCUUUGGAAUUUGCUUAUAUGUGAAAUCAUGUUGCCUACAGAGUGGGCUGCUUUUUCCUUUCAAAUUUUUGUCCUUAGAAUUGCUUUUUCUUGUCUAAUUGUAUUGGCUAGUACUUACAUCCCCAUGUAAAAUAGUAGUUAAUAUAAUGUGCAUCUUUGUCUGGUUCCUUACAUUGUUGAAAAGUUUUUAGUGUUACUACAUUAACUAAGAUUUUGGCUCUCGAUUGUAGAAAGGAAGGAGCUAUCAAUUUUUAUUCCACUGAAUACUUUUAACAUGAAUGAAAUCUACCAUUGUCAAAUGCCUUAUCUACCUCUGUGGAGAUGAUUAUAUGAUCUUUCUCUUUAGCUCUUUUAAUAUAAAGGAUUAUAUUAUUGAAUUUUCUAAUAAGGAAUCACCUUUGCCUUCUCAGAAUAAAUCUCACUUGUUUGGUAUGUGUUAUUUUUAAUGAGCACUUUAUUUUAUGUUUUAAUAUUUUAUUGAAAAUUUUCACUGUGAUAUUUACAAGUGAUUUUGGUCUAGAGUUUUCUUUUUGAUGUAAUCUAGUGUACUUUUUAGUAUAGUCUUUCCAAAUAUGGAAGGUACAAAAACAGCACUGCAAAACAGUGUUAAAGAUAAACCUGAUUCCUGUAGCAACUAACAUGAAAAAUGAAAAAGGGCACAAAUUAUUUGAGGGAAAAAAAAAAACAAACCCAGAUCCCCUAUUUGACAGGGAAAGAGAAUUUAUAUACCAUUCAUGUUUGUGACUAAAAUAAUCCAUUGCUAUUUUAAUUUUUUAAUUCUCCCUGCGCAGCAACUAUAAUUAGAAAUGAGUUCUAGACGCACCUUUUUUUUUUUUUCCAGCAGCUAUUGCCAAACACAUCCACAAUUUCUAAAAAUGCUUUUUUUUCUUGAGUAAACAACAAAAAGUGAUUAAAGGCAAAUAAUAAUAAAUGUGCAGGGCACAGGGGCGACCCAUGCCCAGAGUAAGUUUCUUGCUGCCUCAGGCUUUGACGAGAGCUAAAGAAACAGCUUUUUGAUGUUCAGAAGAUAAGAUGAAAAAGUUAAAGAGCUGCCUUCCAAAACCCUAUAACCCCCGUCUAUUCAUAAGUAAAACAUCCACUGAAUCCUAAUUGAGGGACAUUCUACAAAAUUCCUGACCAGCACUCCUCAAAAAUGUUAAGGUCAUCAAAAACAUGGAAAGUCUGAGAAACUCAUAGCCAAGAAGUGCCUAAGGAGUAUUGGAGACUAAAUGCAAUGUGGUAACCUAAAUGGGUUACUGGGGCAGAAAAAGGACAUUAAGUAAAAACUGAGAAAAUAUGUAUAAAUUAUGGACUCUUAUUUAAUAACAAUUAUCAUUGCUUCACUAAUUGUGACAAAUGUAAGCUGCUAAUACAAAUGUAAGCUGCUAAUAAUAGAGGAAAAAGGAGAUGAUAAAUAGGGGGACUCGGGGGACGCUCUGUACCAUCUUCUCAAUUUUUCUGUGACUCUAAAACUAUUCUAAAAUUAAAAGUGUAUUUUUAAAAGUCAAAGGAGGAGGUCCCUUGUGGCUCCAUGGGUUAAGAAUCUGGCAUUGUCACUGCUUUGGCAUAUUCAUUCCCUGGCCUGGAUGUGCUGUGGGUGCAGCCUAAAUAUUUUUUUUUAAAAGUCAAAGGAGCUUAAAAUAUAAUAAAGUUGCACCUUUUCUCUGGAUGCCCAAAAAUAUAGAAUUAGGCCAACAGAUAUACUCAGUGAUACUUAGCAUCACUGUCAUCAGGGAAAUGCAAAUUGAAACCACAGUGAGAUAUCAUCUCAUACCUGUUAGAAUGGCUAUCAUCAAAAAGAUAGUCAUAAAUGUGGAGAAAAGGAGCCCUUGUGCAUUGCUGGUUGUUGCAAGUUAGUAUAACCACUAUGGAAAACAGUAUGGAGGUUCCUCCAAAAAUUUACACUAGAACUGCUGGAGUUUGCUGGUGACCUAACAGUUAAGGAUCCAGCAUUGUCACUACUGUGGCUCAGGUUACUUCUGUGGCAUCAGUUUGAUCCCUGGCCCAGGAACUUCUACAUGCCACAG